UACGGAGGAUCCAAGCGUUGUCCGGAUUUAUUGGGUUUAAAGGGUGCGUAGGCGGAUCUUUAAGUCAGUGGUGAAAGCCUGCAGCUCAACUGUAGAACAGCCAUUGAAACUGAAGAUCUUGAAUAUGGUUAAAGUAGGCGGAAUGUAUCAUGUAGCGGUGAAAUGCUUAGAUAUGAUACAGAACACCGAUAGCGAAGGCAGCUUGCUGAACCAUUAUUGACGCUGAGGCACGAAAGCGUGGGGAGCAAACAGGAUUAGAUACCCUGGUAGUCCACGCCCUAAACGUUGAUUACUCGUUGUUGGCGAUAUACUGUCAGCGACUAAGCUAAAGCGUUAAGUAAUCCACCUGGGAAGUACGACCGCAAGGUUGAA
This 372-nucleotide ribosomal RNA is filed under the name uncultured bacterium. RNAcentral's name for it is "bacterial SSU rRNA". It matches the Rfam family "Bacterial small subunit ribosomal RNA", at positions 524 to 898 of the family's 1533-position model. The record is from RNAcentral.